AUACGUAGGGUGCGAGCGUUGUCCGGAAUUACUGGGCGUAAAGAGCUCGUAGGUGGUUUGUCGCGUCGUCUGUGAAAUUCCGGGGCUUAACUCCGGGCGUGCAGGCGAUACGGGCAUAACUUGAGUACUGUAGGGGAGACUGGAAUUCCUGGUGUAGCGGUGAAAUGCGCAGAUAUCAGGAGGAACACCGGUGGCGAAGGCGGGUUUCUGGGCAUUAACUGACGCUGAGGAGCGAAAGAAUGGGUAGCGAACAGGAUUAGAUCACCUGGUAGUCCAUGCCGUAAACGGUGGGCGCUAGGUGUAGGGGUCUUCCACGACUUCUGUGCCGUAGCUAACGCAUUAAGCGCCCCGCCUGGGGAGUACGGCCGCAAGGCUAAAACUCAAAUGAAUUGACGGGG
Molecule: ribosomal RNA, 398 nt
Filed under: uncultured bacterium
Lineage: Bacteria
Description: partial 16S ribosomal RNA
Rfam family: Bacterial small subunit ribosomal RNA
Source: RNAcentral